RNAcentral lists this long non-coding RNA (3224 nucleotides) under Homo sapiens (human). RNAcentral's name for it is "non-protein coding LINC01694:17". The record is from RNAcentral. Lineage: Eukaryota; Metazoa; Chordata; Mammalia; Primates; Hominidae.
GAGCCCGCCCCUCUCCCAGGCUCCUGCUCCAGGGCGAACCCGGGGGUCCUCUCCCAUGGCUCUGUGGGGGACCCCGGGGAGGUCGCCCUGGCACGGGACACUGUCGCGGGGUAGGACCCGAGAGGGUCUGGGGCGGUCAGGCUUCAUCCUGAGCACCGCCCGGGUGCAGGGAGCGCUGGGUGCUGGGCAAUACUUUAAAGACACAAAGUCUCAACAACCAUCUUCCGCUUGACGAGACAGAUCAUUCUAAUUUGAGCAGAAGCUACUAUGUCCUGCCCUUUGAACGCGGCGGCCCGGACAGCUGACAAGGACACACUGUGUAUUUCCAUUCCAAUUCUGGGAGUGCUCUGAGGCCUCUGGGGGAGAAGGACCCAUGAAAUAUUCAAAACAUAAGUGAAUAAAAUAUCUAGGUGCUAGAUAUGGGCCAGGAAGAGCCCUCGGCCCUGCAAAGUGUGUGUGAUGGUGAGAAGCUACCGGAAGAGAUGGUCCCUGUGCUUGGUUCAUUCCUUGGACAUUUAUCAAGCUGACGAAUGUAGCAGAGGUGCUUCAGUCGGCUGUAAUUCCACGGGUGGAGUGCUGGCUGGAGAGUUACCUGGGGCUGUCACACUGCAUGGGCUCCGGGACACUGUGGCUGCCCUUAUGUGGUGUCCCCGGAGGGCCCUGCAGGUGUCACACCGCUGCUCCACACUGCCACCUGCUGUCAGCAUCUGUGCAACGUAUCCAGGUCUCUGGGGGCUAGAAUGAAAAACAUGCAUCUCGUAACCAAUGAAAUCGGGCUUGUCCUGAAGACCUCGUGCAUUCAUCCAUUCUCACACUGCUAUAAAGACAUACCUAAGACUGGGCACUUCAUGAAGAAAAGAGGUUUAAUUGGCUCACGGUUCUGCAGGCUUUACAGGAAGCAUAGCAGCUUCCACUUCUAGGGAGGCCUCAGGAAACUUAUAGUCAUGGUGGAAGGUGAAGGCGGGACAAGGCGUCUCACAUGGGAGCAGUAGAGAGAGAAAAAGAGGGGGUGCCGCACACUUUGAAACAACCAGAUCUAACGAUAACUCACUAUCAUGAGAACAGCACCAAGAAGCUGGCGCUAACCCACUUGUGAAGGACCACCACCAUGAUCCAAUCCCUUCCCACCAGGUCCCACUUCCAACGUUGGGGAUUACACUUCACGGUGAGAUUUGUGCAGAGAGGACACAGGUCCAAACCAUAUCACCUGCUGUCUUUUUAUUUAUUUAUUUAUUUAUUUAUUUAUUGAGACAGAGUUGCUUCGUCACCCAGGCUGGAGUGCAGUGGCGUGAUCUCGGCUCACUGCAAGCUCCGCCUCCCGGGUUCGCACCAUUCUCCUGCCUCAGCCUCCCGAGUAGCUGGGACAACAGGCGCCUGCCACCACACCCAGCUAAUUUUUUGUAUUUUUAGUAGAGACGGGGUUUCACCAUGUUAGCCAGGAUGGUCUCCAUCUCCUGACCUCGUGAUCCGCCCGCCUCGGCCUUCCAAAGUGCUGGGAUUACAGACAUGAGCCACUGCGCCUGGCCUAUUGAUUUAUUUUUGAGAUGGGGUUUCGCUCUUGUGGCCCAGGCUGGAGUGCAAUGGCACGAUCUCGGCUCACUGCAACCUCCGCCUCCCAAGUUCAAGUGAUUCUCCUGUCUCAGUCUCCCAAGUAGCUGGGAUUACAGGCAUGCGCCACCAUGCCCAGCUAAUUUUGUAUUUUUAGUAGAGACAGGGUUUCUCCAUGUUGUUCAGGCUGGUCUCGAGCUCCCGACCUUAGGUGAUCCACCCGCCUCAGCCUCCCAAAGUGCUGGGAUUACAGGUGUGAGCCACUGCGCCUUGCCCACCUGCUGUCUUUUUGCAUCUUCCAAGUAGACAUCAAAGAUUGGUUUGCUAUCAGUGUCACUUCUAUAAUCCGUGGUUCUAUAUGAAGAAAACAAAAUCCCAAUUGGGGAAAAUGAACCCAUGGCAUUUUGUUUCUUACUCUGGAGCCGUUUCUGGCAGUUUGCCAGCAAGCACACAGACCCACAGGACAAGCUUGGUUCAUGGCCUGGAGUGCUGGUCUUGCUCAUGGACACGCAAUCAGAAGCAGUAUUUUGAUACCCCUGUGCUCAUGGCAAGGAGCUGCGUGGGCUUUCAGGGUGGAACCAGGGCUUCAGGGAACCCCUUCAUCCCGACAGGCAUCACCCAGAGCACACCCAGAGCAGCCUGCAGCGGCGUGGAAGGGGCUUGCACUGGCCCCAAGGUGCAGGGGAGCCCUGCCUGCCUGUCUCCUGCUAGGCUUGCCUGGGCUCCCGCCUACAGACCAUGAGAAUUCUUCUAGCAUGGGAAGAGAGUCUGACCAAAGUGACAACAGCCAUCCCCUGACUGCCCAGCACUGUUCACUUCUUCCCAGAUACUCCUACCAGACCAGGUCAGCCCUUCUUUUACUGGGGGGCCAGAAAGGUCCCCCCAAUCCAGUCCAGGACUCCAGAUGAUGCCCAUUUCUCUGCCAGUCCCAGCAAUCUCCCUUCUCAGCAUCUGGCAUCCUGGGAUGUACCCUAAAGUUCACUGGCUCAGAGCACCCUAACUAUGGCUGCGGCGAGGGGGGAGGGCGGGAUCAGGUCGGCGUGCUGCACAUGGGUCCUGGGGCGGGAACAGUAUUCUGGCUAUGCUCCUGCAGCUGGGCCCUCACAAGGGGCAGCGUCUGCACCCUCUCAAGGCUUUGCAGAUAAGGGUUUAUUGAAGAGGGAGGUGACCCACACCAUCCCCACUGAGGGAUCUGGUUAGGGGGCUCCCCCCAGAAUGUAGGCAAGAGGGCAGCAUCUUGAUAGUGAGGGUUGGUCACCCGGGAACCACAGUAACGUCUGCAGGGACCUUCCCCCAGUGGCACGCACUUCCCAGAAUGCUCACGGUCACCCUCAGCUUUCAACUGUGGGGACCUAACGCGUCUCCUGGUAGAGUCCUCACUCCCUUGGCUAAAACUUCUGAAAGCAGCGAGGCCGGGCUCCCUGGCUAGGAUGGCUCUGGCCCUGAGCAGGUCAUUUGCGUCAAGUUUCACCACCCAGCACCCUGUGCUUUCCCCAGCUGGCUGCACGCUGGGCCUCCGGGAAGCCGGCAAGCCCACCUGAUUCUGGAUCCUCCCUCCGAGCCUGGGUGACGCUGUCAUGAAAGAAGCUGCCAGAAGCCCACAGCAGGGCAGUUAGGCAGGGAAUGCGAGUCCGUGUCCAGAGCAAGGGUGACUCCAGUCCCUCCAGGACGGAGAA